RNAcentral lists this ribosomal RNA (2568 nucleotides) under Triticum aestivum (bread wheat). Its description in RNAcentral is "partial small subunit ribosomal RNA". The record is from RNAcentral. Lineage: Eukaryota; Viridiplantae; Streptophyta; Magnoliopsida; Poales; Poaceae.
AUGAGCAAGCAAGGUGGAGCCAAGAAAACGAACGGGCAGAACGACCAGAAUCUCGUCAACAUCAUCCUCUCUUGGUCCCUCCGGGAUGUCGUCAACCAGGACCUCUUCAGGGACAAGGUGAACCCGAUACCUGACAGGUUCUUCGGUCUGAAGAGCUACCUGGAUUCGUUCAGGGCCCCGCUGCUGGAAGAAAUCCGAGCAGAGAUGAGCUCUAACCUGGACGCGCAGGCCAAUUGCUCCAAGCCCGUGCAAAUACGGAAAAUGGUUCCCAUGCCCCAGGACGCGAGAAGGCCCCCAAUGUACUUUGUGACCAUCGACGCACGCCGUGGAGCUUGUCCUCCAUGCAACGGUGACAUCGUCGUGCUCUCGGUGGCGAUGCCGCUCCGGCCAUCCGACCUUGCCAGCAACGGCACCUCGUACUGCCUUGCUCACGUCCUUCAAGUCUACGGCAGCUGCACCUUUCUGAUCCGAUCUUCCAAGAGAAUAGAUGAUUAUGUGAACAGCUACGCGUUCGUUGUUAGCUCGCUCACUCUCAUACCCUACGAACGCGUCUGGCGGUCCCUCCGCUACGAAGCUGCCGUCAAGAGAGAAUCGGCCCUUUUGAAGGUUAUCGCGGGGGAAGACUGCAUCUGCAUGCAGAGCACUUCCUUGACGGGUGCCCCGCCUCGCCCGGAGAUGGCCGGCGGCACCGACGUGCUGCUAGCGGGCAGGCUGUCCGCGUUUGGGCUCAACGACUCCCAGACUGGCGCCAUACUGAGCUGUGUAUCUGCGGUGCAGUGUGGCGGCGGGAGCAGCAAGGUUAGCCUCAUCUGGGGGCCGCCUGGCACGGGCAAAACCAAGACCAUCACCGUGCUGCUGCUGGCGGCGAUGAAGUUGAAAUACCGGGUCCUGACGUGCGCGCCGACGAACACGGCCGUCUGCCAGGUUGCGUCCCGCCUCUUGGCGCUGAGGAAGCAGCACCCCGACGCCUGUGCUGGAAGGCGCCGCUGCCUCGGCGAUCUGUCGCUGUUCGGCAACAGUGACCGCAUGCCCAUCGACAACGAUCUUGACGAGAUAUUCCUGGACACACGUCUAAGUCGGCUAAGAAAGUGCUUCUCGCCGGGGACGGGUUGGAAGCAGUGUCUUCGUUCACUGGAAAUGUUUCUGUCACGGAAGCAGAAAGAUGGCACACAACUACUCAGGUACAACUUCCCGACGCAUACGUUCCACCCGAUCUCGAAGGAGCUCAGCGGGUGCUUCGAAACAAUCAUGUCCCAAGUCCCUAUGCAUUGUAUCCUGGAGAGCAAUUACAGUAACAUUGCUUUGCUCAUCAAGAUGCUCGACGACUUCAGCAAGCUGCUGGGGCAAAAGAGCGUUCAGGAAGAAGUGCCUACGUGGUGGAGGCAGAAACAGAAACGCGGUGGUCUAAUGGGUUACUCGGAAGAAGUAAUCCGCAGCAUGAGGGAGAAAAUGUCGGCAAUUCUAGACGUUACGAGAACGUUGAUGCGAGACCUGAAACUUCCUCUGACAAGAAAGUUCUAUAAGAUCAAGGAGUUCUGCAUGGAAAGUGCCUCCCUCAUUUUCUGCACCGUGUCUGGCUCGGCUAAGCUGGAAGGGGAGGCGAUGGAUAUGCUUCUCAUCGAUGAGGCUGCACAGCUGAAGGAAUGCGAAUCCCUCAUUCCGCUGCAACUCUCCGGACUGAAGCAUGCAGUUCUUAUCGGUGACGAGUGUCAAUUGUCAGCUAUGGUCAAAAGCAAGGUUUCAGAUAAUGCGUUGCUGGGGAGAAGCCUAUUCGAAAGACUAGGUUUACUCGGACACAAGAAGCACCUUCUGAACAUGCAGUACAGGAUGCACCCUUCCAUCAGCAUCUUCCCGAACCCCAGUUUCUACGACGGGCAGAUCUUGGACGGCCCCAACGUCACCCACACGAAGCACGAGCGUAGCUACCUCCCGGGCGCAAUGUACGGGCCGUACUCGUUCAUCAACAUCGACGGAAGGGAAGAUCGCGGCCGCAGCAAGAGAAACAUGGCCGAGGUGGCCGCCAUCCUGGAAAUACUGCGCAGUCUCAAGCAAGCUUGUAUCAGCGCUGGGCAGGUGGUCAGCGUGGGCGUCAUAUGCCCGUACGCUGCGCAGGUGGAGGCGAUUCAGGGGAGGAUAGGCGACGUGAGAGUGAUGCGGCCCCUGGUUCUUCGCGUCAACUCUGUGGAUGGGUUCCAAGGCAGCGAGGAGGGCGUCAUCAUCCUCUCUACAGUCAGUUCCAACGCCACGGGUUCCAUCGGCUUCCUCUCCAACCGGCGCCGCGCCAACGUCGCCCUGACGAGGGCAAGGCACUGCCUCUGGAUCCUGGGCAACGCGACGACGCUGAGCGGCAGCGGCUCCAUCUGGGGAGAGCUGGUCCAGGAUGCCGUGGAGCGUCGGUGCUUCUUCGACUGGGACGAUGGUGGCGCAAGCGCCUCUCGGGACAUUUCUCACCGCGCUCGCCUGAUCGGGCCUGAACGCGGUGGAGCAGCUUCAGCUUUUGACACGCAGCCGGUGGGGUGUGAAGCAGACACUAUCUGUGGCGCGCUAGGUUCCCUGCGACUCACUUAG